UCCCUGGGGGUCCAGUGGCGAAGACUCCACAGUCCCAAUGCAAGUGUCCCAGGUUCAAUUCCUGGCCAGGGAA
This is a transfer RNA of Ovis aries (sheep), 73 nucleotides long. It matches the Rfam family "tRNA". From Rfam's summary of the family: Transfer RNA (tRNA) molecules are approximately 80 nucleotides in length. Their secondary structure includes four short double-helical elements and three loops (D, anti-codon, and T loops). NCBI's taxonomy places the organism in Eukaryota, Metazoa, Chordata, Mammalia, Artiodactyla, Bovidae. The record is from Rfam.